UAUCUUAAUUAUGGAACAUUGAAAGAUUAUUUAUGGUGUAACACAACCACUAAUAAUAAAGGUCUUAAAUGCCUGUCUUUUAAGUAAUUAAGUAUUACAUACAACAGAGUACUAAAAUAAGAAAGUGCGCAGGAGGCACUAAAUAAGUUACCUUAUUUCCCAAAAUCAUCAAGUUCUUCUGUUGUACAUGGAACAUGAGACUCUCCAUGGUGAUUUUCGCCUAUAGUACCCUAGGCCUCAUCGCCAUACUCCUUCCAUUUGGUGUUAGUUGCUAAAUCUUCAGGACCAGGAGGUAAAUCUUCUAUGAAGGAUGAGAAUGACUCUGUUCCAAUAAUUAAAUGAAAAAUGCACUGAUCAUUUCUGGUGGGUCCAACCAUACAAGGGUCUGCAACUUUGCUUUCAAUUGAUUGGAUCUUGGUGCCUGUUUUCAAGGGUCGACAUCUGCUGUGCUUCAUUCUCGUCCUUAAAACACAAAAGGUCUGUUUCAUUCCUUGCGUCAUCAUUAGAAUUUCCAUUAAUGAGCAACUCCAUUUGAUCAUCCUCCCAGUCUUGUUCAUAGUCAGGCAAUUCAGUACAAUUUUGAAAAUUAGUCAGUGAUUUCUCCAUAGUCCUAAAUUUUUCCAUGAUAAUUGUAUUGAUGAUAAAAAAUAGAUGAUUAUCCCAUGAUUUAGAUGUUGUGCUAUCCAUCUUCUUCCUUUGUACAACUUCGGAUACACUAGGUUUUAUGUUGUAUGAACAUUUACAAGGUUGGCUCAGAAUUCGUAUUGCAUACUUGCUCAAUACUGGAAGAAGCGGACGAUUAUAAUCCCACCAUUCACAAGGAUGAGAUGAUGUCAUGAUUGCGCGUGAAAUUUCAUUUGUUAAUUCCUUCAAUGAUCGCUUACGAUAAAGCUGCAACUCCUGUAUAAAUUUUGCCUUUUCUUCUCCACUUGCUACCAAGUUCUCCGACACAAAGUUCAUGCCAUUGUACGUAUCAAUGCCCCAACAUUCAGAAUCCUCCAGAAACAUGUAAGUAGGAUUCAGAAAAGCUGCAGCAGCAUGCAUCGGGUGGAUAAUGUUGCCUUGCCUCUCCGCUAAUAACUCCAAUAUCCUUUGAUACUUUGUUGGAUUGCGGUCACGGUACCCCUCAAUUGCUUCUCUUGCCCUUUUCAAUGCUCCAUACAAGUAGCCUGAAUUUGGUCUAUCAUUUUCUACUAAUCGGAGGACUUGAACUAUUGGCUCCAGAACAUCUAGUACAUCAUGUCCUUGAUUCCAAAAGUUUGCACCUUGAAUAAUAUCAGUAACCUUCCGAGCUGUCUCGUUAUUGUUAGAAUCCAGCAUGUACCACUCGUCAGACAUAAUGAGUUGCUGCAAUUCAUUCUUAUUAUCAAAGAUGGACUGAAGCAUUUGAUACUUGGAGGCAAACUUGGACAUACAAGGAUGUUUCAAUUCCUUGCCCUUUGUGUAUUGUUUCAUCAAUGAUAAAACAAUAGCGUUGCUGUACAUAUGUCUGAAGAUCAAUUCUGCAUGAUCAAUUAUCUGUCUUACCCAGGCAAUUUCAUCGAAUAUGACCUUCAAAAAAGAAUGAAUCUCUUGAGCUGCACAUCGAAUUUGGUAAAUUGUUGGGUACCUAGUCUCAAGCAUUUCUCCAACCGAACUAGAAAUUUUACCAUCGUUGGUGAUGAAUUGGACAACAUGAUCAACCCCAAUUUUUUCAAUUAUGGAAGAAACUAUCUCUGUGAAAUCAAAAUCUAUCUCCUCCAACCUUGAAACUUCAUAUGAAGUUUCAAGGUUGGAGGAGAUAGAUUUUGAUUUCACAGAGAUAGUUUCUUCCAUAAUUGAAAAAAUUGGGGUUGAUCAUGUUGUCCAAUUCAUCACCAACGAUGGUAAAAUUUCUAGUUCGGUUGGAGAAAUGCUUGAGACUAGGUACCCAACAAUUUACCAAAUUCGAUGUGCAGCUCAAGAGAUUCAUUCUUUUUUGAAGGUCAUAUUCGAUGAAAUUGCCUGGGUAAGACAGAUAAUUGAUCAUGCAGAAUUGAUCUUCAGACAUAUGUACAGCAACGCUAUUGUUUUAUCAUUGAUGAAACAAUACACAAAGGGCAAGGAAUUGAAACAUCCUUGUAUGUCCAAGUUUGCCUCCAAGUAUCAAAUGCUUCAGUCCAUCUUUGAUAAUAAGAAUGAAUUGCAGCAACUCAUUAUGUCUGACGAGUGGUACAUGCUGGAUUCUAACAAUAACGAGACAGCUCGGAAGGUUACUGAUAUUAUUCAAGGUGCAAACUUUUGGAAUCAAGGACAUGAUGUACUAGAUGUUCUGGAGCCAAUAGUUCAAGUCCUCCGAUUAGUAGAAAAUGAUAGACCAAAUUCAGGCUACUUGUAUGGAGCAUUGAAAAGGGCAAGAGAAGCAAUUGAGGGGUACCGUGACCGCAAUCCAACAAAGUAUCAAAGGAUAUUGGAGUUAUUAGCGGAGAGGCAAGGCAACAUUAUCCACCCGAUGCAUGCUGCUGCAGCUUUUCUGAAUCCUACUUACAUGUUUCUGGAGGAUUCUGAAUGUUGGGGCAUUGAUACGUACAAUGGCAUGAACUUUGUGUCGGAGAACUUGGUAGCAAGUGGAGAAGAAAAGGCAAAAUUUAUACAGGAGUUGCAGCUUUAUCGUAAGCGAUCAUUGAAGGAAUUAACAAAUGAAAUUUCACGCGCAAUCAUGACAUCAUCUCAUCCUUGUGAAUGGUGGGAUUAUAAUCGUCCGCUUCUUCCAGUAUUGAGCAAGUAUGCAAUACGAAUUCUGAGCCAACCUUGUAAAUGUUCAUACAACAUAAAACCUAGUGUAUCCGAAGUUGUACAAAGGAAGAAGAUGGAUAGCACAACAUCUAAAUCAUGGGAUAAUCAUCUAUUUUUUAUCAUCAAUACAAUUAUCAUGGAAAAAUUUAGGACUAUGGAGAAAUCACUGACUAAUUUUCAAAAUUGUACUGAAUUGCCUGACUAUGAACAAGACUGGGAGGAUGAUCAAAUGGAGUUGCUCAUUAAUGGAAAUUCUAAUGAUGACGCAAGGAAUGAAACAGACCUUUUGUGUUUUAAGGACGAGAAUGAAGCACAGCAGAUGUCGACCCUUGAAAACAGGCACCAAGAUCCAAUCAAUUGAAAGCAAAGUUGCAGACCCUUGUAUGGUUGGACCCACCAGAAAUGAUCAGUGCAUUUUUCAUUUAAUUAUUGGAACAGAGUCAUUCUCAUCCUUCAUAGAAGAUUUACCUCCUGGUCCUGAAGAUUUAGCAACUAACACCAAAUGGAAGGAGUAUGGCGAUGAGGCCUAGGGUACUAUAGGCGAAAAUCACCAUGGAGAGUCUCAUGUUCCAUGUACAACAGAAGAACUUGAUGAUUUUGGGAAAUAAGGUAACUUAUUUAGUGCCUCCUGCGCACUUUCUUAUUUUAGUACUCUGUUGUAUGUAAUACUUAAUUACUUAAAAGACAGGCAUUUAAGACCUUUAUUAUUAGUGGUUGUGUUACACCAUAAAUAAUCUUUCAAUGUUCCAUAAUUAAGAUA
Molecule: unclassified non-coding RNA, 3514 nt
Filed under: Hevea brasiliensis (rubber tree)
Lineage: Eukaryota; Viridiplantae; Streptophyta; Magnoliopsida; Malpighiales; Euphorbiaceae
Source: RNAcentral